RNAcentral lists this unclassified non-coding RNA (347 nucleotides) under Hyptis pulchella. Its description in RNAcentral is "partial external transcribed spacer". Lineage: Eukaryota; Viridiplantae; Streptophyta; Magnoliopsida; Lamiales; Lamiaceae. The record is from RNAcentral.
CGCGAGUCGGUUUCCUGUGUGCAUACCUAUUGCGAGGGCAUUCGGUUGGCUAAAACGGUCCCAUCUCCGCCUCGUGUCGGCGCUCCAUGCGGGCGUUCGGUGCGCGGUGGAUCUCAAGGCUCGCGUUGUGUUUCNCGCCGCAUUCACCCAUAAAACGGUGUUUGGGUAGGCGACCCACGACGUGAUGCCCCGUUGUCUCGGGUACNGAAUAUCGGGUGGGUUCGAGGCACCGUCCUCUGAUCACCACAAAAAUGCGUUCUACGCUUGAUGCGAACGACGGCCGCACACGACCUUUGGCGGAGCACUCGUUGUUCGGUCGAANUCGUGUCGGCGUCGGUGAAGGAUGC